CACAUCUUCAGCUGAUGCACAGGAAAGCAUAGGCCUUUAGCUGCCAAACCCAGAAGACCUGAGAAAUUUUUCCUGUGGAGGAGAAACCUGAGAAAACUGGUGGUGAUGUCCAUGUGCUGAGUUAUACAGCCUGAAUGGGAGUCUGUCUACCUCCUAGUCUCCCAGAGAGAGGUGACAUUCUGCCAGGAGUUCGAUUCUGAAGCUGCUGAAUUUGAACUGCUUCCGUCACAUCCAGGUGAAGAUACCCAGCAGGCCGCUCCAUACACAGAUGCUAAGAAUUGAACCCAGGGGCUUAUGCAGACAGAGGAGUACUCAAUACACAACAGCUAAACUACAUACCCAGCCCCUUGUGUCUCUCUGAAGAAGUGAAGAUGGGGGCAGUGAUGUGUGGAGGCAGCAACAGAGUCAGUCUGCCUCAUGACUUAACACACAAGGAAACAUCCAGGCUCCCUCUACAGAUGAACUGAAAAGACAAGGAGUGGCAGCCUCUAGAUCUAAACCCAGGUUGGUCUGACAGAGUCUAAAUCCUUGAACAUUCUCCAGCCUGCCUCCUAGAGAAGCAUGGUGGUGUUUAUUUCUCACAGGUGGCCCUGAGGAUGCAAAGACGGU
Peromyscus maniculatus bairdii (prairie deer mouse) is the source of this 609-nucleotide non-coding RNA. NCBI's taxonomy places the organism in Eukaryota, Metazoa, Chordata, Mammalia, Rodentia, Cricetidae. The record is from RefSeq and is a predicted model, not a curated record.